CAGCCGUAAACUAUGCGCGUUAGGUGUACUGGUGACCACGAGUCACCGGGGUGCCGAAGGGAAACCGUGAAACGUGCCGCCUGGGAAGUACGGUCGCAAGGCUGAAACUUAAAGGAAUUGGCGGGGGAGCACCGCAACGGGAGGAGCGUGCGGUUUAAUUGGAUUCAACACCGUAAAACUCACCAGGGAGACUGUUACAUGAAAGCCGAGAUGAAGACUCUGCUAGAUUUUCAGAGAGGUGGUGCAUGGCGUCAGUGACU
This 260-nucleotide ribosomal RNA is filed under the name uncultured archaeon. Its description in RNAcentral is "partial 16S ribosomal RNA". It matches the Rfam family "Archaeal small subunit ribosomal RNA", at positions 748 to 1008 of the family's 1478-position model. The record is from RNAcentral.